CAGUCGCCACGGGAACACGUAGGGUGCGAGCGUUAAUCGGAAUUACUGGGCGUAAAGCGUGCGCAGGCGGUUUUGUAAGACAGGCGUGAAAUCCCCGGGUUCAACCUGGGAAUGGCGCUUGUGACUGCAAAGCUAGAGUGCGGCAGAGGGGGAUGGAAUUCCGCGUGUAGCAGUGAAAUGCGUAGAUAUGCGGAGGAACACCGAUGGCGAAGGCAAUCCCCUGGGCCUGCACUGACGCUCAUGCACGAAAGCGUGGGGAGCAAACGGGAUUAGAUACCCCCGUAGUCCCUGUCUCUUAUAC
RNAcentral lists this ribosomal RNA (301 nucleotides) under uncultured bacterium. RNAcentral describes it as "partial 16S ribosomal RNA". It matches the Rfam family "Bacterial small subunit ribosomal RNA", at positions 509 to 807 of the family's 1533-position model. The record is from RNAcentral.